RNAcentral lists this ribosomal RNA (455 nucleotides) under uncultured bacterium. Its description in RNAcentral is "bacterial SSU rRNA". It matches the Rfam family "Bacterial small subunit ribosomal RNA", at positions 46 to 525 of the family's 1533-position model. The record is from RNAcentral.
GGAUUAGGCAUGCAAGUCGAGCGAGGAGUAUUGGUAGCAAUACUGGUACAUUCGAGCGGCGUAAGGGGCAGUAAUACCUGGGAACGUACCCAAAGGUCGGGGAUAGCUGCUGGGAACGGCGAGUAAUACCCGAUGAUGCCGAGAGGCCAAAGGCUUGCCGCCUUUGGAGCGGCCCAGGCGAUAUUAGCUAGUUGGUGGGGUAACGGCCUACCAAGGCAAAGAUGUCUAGCGGGUGUGAGAGCACGACCCGCGCCACUGGCACUGAGACACUGGCCAGACACCUACGGGUGGCUGCAGUCGAGAAUCUUCGGCAAUGGGCGAAAGCCUGACCGAGCGACGCCGCGUGCGGGAUGAAGGCCUUCGGGUUGUAAACCGCUUUGGUCCGAGAGAAAGGGCAACUUGAUCGAUCGGAGAAACAAGGACGGGCUAAGUUCGUGCCAGCAGCCGCGGUAAUA